GGAUGCGAUCAUACCAGCACUAAAGCACCGGAUCCCAUUAGAACUCUGAAGUUAAGCGUGCUUUGGCGAGAUUAGUACUAGGAUGGGUGACCUCUUGGGAAGUCCUCGUGUUGCACUCA
This 119-nucleotide ribosomal RNA is filed under the name Triticum dicoccoides. Lineage: Eukaryota; Viridiplantae; Streptophyta; Magnoliopsida; Poales; Poaceae. The record is from RNAcentral.